GACGAACGCUGGCGGCGUGCUUAACACAUGCAAGUCGAACGGAAAGGCCCUGCUUUUGUGGGGUGCUCGAGUGGCGAACGGGUGAGUAACACGUGAGUAACCUGCCCUUGACUUUGGGAUAACUUCAGGAAACUGGGGCGAAUACCGGAUAGGAGCUCCUGCUGCAUGGUGGGGGUUAGAAAGUUUCGGCGGUUGGGGAUGGACUCGCGGCUUAUCAGCUUGUUGGUGGGGUAGUGGCUUACCAAGGCUUUGACGGGUAGCCGGCCUGAGAGGGUGACCGGCCACAAGGGUACUGAGAUACGGCCCAGACUCCUACGGGAGGCAGCAGUGGGGAAUCUUGCACAAUGGGCGGAAGCCUGAUGCAGCAACGCCGCGUGCGGGAUGACGGCCUUCGGGUUGUAAACAGCUUUCGCCGGUGACGAAGCGUGGGUGACGGUAAUGGGUAAAGAAGCACCGGCUAACUACGUG
Molecule: ribosomal RNA, 468 nt
Filed under: uncultured bacterium
Lineage: Bacteria
Description: partial 16S ribosomal RNA
Rfam family: Bacterial small subunit ribosomal RNA
Source: RNAcentral